RNAcentral lists this ribosomal RNA (264 nucleotides) under uncultured archaeon. Its description in RNAcentral is "partial 16S ribosomal RNA". It matches the Rfam family "Archaeal small subunit ribosomal RNA", at positions 717 to 982 of the family's 1478-position model. The record is from RNAcentral.
ACACGACUACAUUAGAUACCCCUGUAGUCCCAGCCCUAAACGAUGCGCGUUAGGUGUAUCGGUGACCACGAGUCACCGAGGUGCCGAAGGGAAACCGUGAAACGUGCCGCCUGGGAAGUACGGUCGCAAGGCUGAAACUUAAAGGAAUUGGCGGGGAGCACCACAAGAGGUGGAGGCUGCGGUUCAAUUGGACUCAACGCCGGAAAACUCAUCGGGAGCGACAGCAGUAUGAUUGCCAGGUUGAUGACCUUGCUUGACAAGCUG